Molecule: long non-coding RNA, 468 nt
Filed under: Rattus norvegicus (Norway rat)
Lineage: Eukaryota; Metazoa; Chordata; Mammalia; Rodentia; Muridae
Description: long non-coding RNA NONRATT022785
Source: RNAcentral
UGCAGGCUGGCCCCCAGGCUGGCGGGAUGCUGGUCAGGACUAGGCAGCGAGUCUCUCAGGGCUGGAGCCCAGAUGAUAUGGCGUUUACGACUGAGCUGGGGAGUUCCACGGUGGACCGUUCCAGCAGAGCAGUGUUUUCAGAGCUUUGUCUUGAGGUUCUCACAGCCUAAAGGAGUGGAGCUGAAGUAAAUCCUGAGGUGGAACACCGGUAAACCCUGGAAUGAUGCUGUAAAGCCAGCAUACUAUAAACUCUGGAGUGGAGCUACCGUAAACCUCAGCAUGGAACUGCUGGAAACCCCACGGACUGGAAACCCCACGGGUGGAUGCUGUAAACCCCGGAGUGAAGAGCAUCCCUCUAUCAAGAGCCAUUCCCUUCAACCAAGCACACAGAUUUGAGAGGGACAAACAUGGAGCCACAAGGGAGGAAAGAGACACCAGUUUAGCAAACCAGAAGAGUUGAACCCAUCU